This 72-nucleotide transfer RNA is filed under the name Ornithorhynchus anatinus (platypus). It matches the Rfam family "tRNA". From Rfam's summary of the family: Transfer RNA (tRNA) molecules are approximately 80 nucleotides in length. The record is from Rfam by way of RNAcentral. Lineage: Eukaryota; Metazoa; Chordata; Mammalia; Monotremata; Ornithorhynchidae.
AGCAGUGUGGCUCAAUAGAAAGAGCAUGGGCUUAGGAGUCAGAGCUCCUGGGUUCUAAUUCCAGCUCUGCUC